Molecule: ribosomal RNA, 274 nt
Filed under: uncultured bacterium
Lineage: Bacteria
Description: partial 16S ribosomal RNA
Rfam family: Bacterial small subunit ribosomal RNA
Source: RNAcentral
AUACGGAGGGUGCUAGCGUUGUUCGGAAUCACUGGGCGUAAAGCGCGCGUAGGCGGUCCGUUAAGUCAUGCGUGAAAGCCCUCGGCUCACCCGAGGAAGUGCGUAUGAAACUGGCGAACUAGAGUGCGGGAGAGGGGGGUGGAAUUCCCAGUGUAGAGGUGAAAUUCGUAGAUAUUGGGAAGAACACCAGUGGCGAAGGCGGCCACCUGGCCCGGUACUGACGCUGAGGUGCGAAAGCGUGGGGAGCAAACAGGAUUAGAAACCCGGGUAGUCC